GACGAACGCUGGCGGCGUGCUUAACACAUGCAAGUCGAACGGAAAGGCCCUGCUUUUGUGGGGUGCUCGAGUGGCGAACGGGGGAGUAACACGUGAGUAACCUGCCCUUGACUUUGGGAUAACUUCAGGAAACUGGGGCUAAUACCGGAGAGGAGCUCCUGCUGCAUGGUGGGGGUUGGAAAGUUUCGGCGGUUGGGGAUGGACUCGCGGCUUAUCAGCUUGUUGGUGGGGUAGUGGCUUACCAAGGCUUUGACGGGUAGCCGGCCUGAGAGGGUGACCGGCCACAUUGGGACUGAGAUACGGCCCAGACUCCCACGGGCGGCAGCAGUGGGGAAUAUUGCACAAUGGGCGGAAGCCUGAUGCAGCAACGCCGCGUGCGGGAUGACGGCCUUCGGGUUGUAAGCCGCUUUCGCCUGUGACGAAGCGUGAGUGACGGUAAUGGGUAAAGAAGCCCCGGCUAACUACGUG
RNAcentral lists this ribosomal RNA (468 nucleotides) under uncultured bacterium. Its description in RNAcentral is "partial 16S ribosomal RNA". It matches the Rfam family "Bacterial small subunit ribosomal RNA", at positions 28 to 507 of the family's 1533-position model. The record is from RNAcentral.